RNAcentral lists this ribosomal RNA (499 nucleotides) under uncultured bacterium. RNAcentral describes it as "partial 16S ribosomal RNA". It matches the Rfam family "Bacterial small subunit ribosomal RNA", at positions 28 to 507 of the family's 1533-position model. The record is from RNAcentral.
GACGAACGCUGGCGGCGUGCUUAACACAUGCAAGUCGAACGGGCCCGCUCUCUUUUUUGGGGGUGGGUUGAGUGGCGAACGGGUGAGUAUCACGUGAGUAACCUGCCCCCUGCUCCUGGAUAACUGCUUGAAAGGGCGGCUAAUACGGGGUGUGCCGGCUGGUCCGCAUGGGCCUGGUCGGGAUAGUUUCAUCUUCGGGUGUUUCGGUGGGGGAUGGGCUCGCGGCCUAUCAGCUUGUUGGUGGGGUGAUGGCCCACCAAGGCGGUGACGGGUAGCCGGCCUGAGAGGGUGGGCGGCCACACUGGGACUGAGACACGGCCCAGACUCCUGCAGGAGGCAGCAGUGGGGGGUAUUGCACAAUGGGCGGAAGCCUGAUGCAGCGACGUCGCGUGAGGGAUGGAGGCCUUCGGGUUGUGAACCUCUUUCUCCGGUGGUGAAGGCCCUGUCCGUUGCGGCGGGGUUGACGGUAGCCGGGUAUGAAGCGCCGGCUAACUACGUG